UGCAGAGAUGGAGCCACGUGAUUCUUC
Molecule: non-coding RNA, 27 nt
Filed under: Homo sapiens (human)
Lineage: Eukaryota; Metazoa; Chordata; Mammalia; Primates; Hominidae
Source: RNAcentral